This 390-nucleotide unclassified non-coding RNA is filed under the name soil metagenome. RNAcentral's name for it is "partial contains 5.8S ribosomal RNA, internal transcribed spacer 2, and large subunit ribosomal RNA". The stretch from base 1 to 122 matches the Rfam family "5.8S ribosomal RNA", at positions 35 to 154 of the family's 154-position model. The record is from RNAcentral.
GAUGAAGAACGUAGUGAAAUGCGAUACUUGGUGUGAAUUGCAGAAUCCCGUGAACCAUCGAGUCUUUGAACGCAAGUUGCGCCCGAAGCCAUUAGGCCGAGGGCACGCCUGCCUGGGCGUCACACGUCGUUGCCCCCCCAUCUACUCCUUCGGGAUUGCGGGGGGCGGAUGAUGGCCUCCCGUGCGCCUCGUCGCGCGGUUGGCAUAAAUGCCAAGUCCUCGGCGACGCACGCCACGACAAUCGGUGGUUGCGAAACCUCGGUUGCCCGUCGUGUGCGGUCGUCGCGCAUCGAGGGCUCGAAAAAAUUGUCGGGCUCCGGCUCGGCUUUCAACGCGACCCCAGGUCAGGCGGGGUUACCCGCUGAAUUUAAGCAUAUCAAUAAGCGAGGA